UAUUGCACAAUGGGCGCAAGCCUGAUGCAGCCAUGCCGCGUGUGUGAAGAAGGCCUUCGGGUUGUAAAGCACUUUCAGUCGUGAGGAAGGUGGUAGUGUUAAUAGCACUAUCAUUUGACGUUAGCGACAGAAGAAGCACCGGCUAACUCCGUGCCAGCAGCCGCGGUAAUACGGAGGGUGCGAGCGUUAAUCGGAAUUACUGGGCGUAAAGCGCAUGCAGGUGGUUUGUUAAGUCAGAUGUGAAAGCCCCGGGGCUCAACCUCGGAAUAGCAUUUGAAACUGGCAAAACUAGAGUACUGUAGAGGGGGUAGAAUUUCAGGUGUAGCGGUGAAAUGCGUAGAGAUCUGAAGGAAUACCGGUGGCGAAGGCGGCCCCCUGGACAGAUACUGACACUCAGAUGCGAAAGCGUGGGGAGCAAACAGGAUUAGAUACCCUGGUAG
RNAcentral lists this ribosomal RNA (440 nucleotides) under uncultured bacterium. RNAcentral's name for it is "bacterial SSU rRNA". It matches the Rfam family "Bacterial small subunit ribosomal RNA", at positions 362 to 793 of the family's 1533-position model. The record is from RNAcentral.